RNA transcript from Musa acuminata AAA Group (dessert banana), 2025 nucleotides. It is a transcript of the gene named protein TRIGALACTOSYLDIACYLGLYCEROL 2, chloroplastic-like, with no coding region annotated. The transcript has 7 exons. The record is from RefSeq and is a predicted model, not a curated record. Lineage: Eukaryota; Viridiplantae; Streptophyta; Magnoliopsida; Zingiberales; Musaceae.
CCACCUGUUUGGUCUCAUUCCCUCGAUCGAUGUCUCGCGUCACCAAACGCUCUUCUUUUUCUUGCUGCUAUCCGGUCAUGCUUGCUUGCUAGGGUUUAACUCCUUCAAUCCGCCGGGCAGAAUCUAAUCCGUUCUUCGAUCUCAAGAUGAUCGCCUCGGCCAAUUCACUGCUGCCGCCGCCGACGUCGUUUCUCCCUUCGGUCGGCAAUUCCCCGAAUUUCUCCCGUGCUACGAGGAGAUUCCUUCGGAUUAAGGCUGCUUCCGCCAGCUCCGAUGAGAACCGUUCGCCGUCAGCGAAGGGGAAGAGCCCUCUGGCGGCCGUCCUGGAGGUGCCGAAGACGCUGUGGCGGCAGACGAUGCAGCCGCUCGGCGACUUCGGGUUCGGGUGGAGGAGUGUGUGGGAGGGCGGGGUCGGGCUGUUCAUCGUCUCCGGGGCGGCGCUCUUCGCCCUCGCUAUGGUCUGGCUACGGGGGAUCCAGCUGCGGUCGCGGUUCAGGAAGUAUCAGGUGGCGUUCGAGUUCUCGCAGGCGUGCGGGAUCUGCGUGGGCACCCCCGUCCGGAUCCGUGGGGUGAACGUAGGCAGCGUGGUGCGGGUCGAUUCCACCUUGAGGAGCAUCGAUGCGAUUGCCGAGGUUGAUGAUGACAAAAUUAUUGUACCUCGAAAUUCAUUGGUUGAAGUGAAUCAGUCUGGCCUUCUUAUGGAGACCUUGAUUGAUAUUACGCCAAGGGAUCCGCUGCCUGAACCUUCUGCAGGUCCUCUUGAUCCUGAUUGUGCCGAACAAGGCCUAAUUGUGUGCGACAAAGAGAAGAUCAGAGGACAGCAGGGGGUAAGCUUGGAUGCAUUGGUAGGUGUGUUCACCCGUCUUGGACAAGAAAUGGAUGAAAUUGGUAUUUCGAGAAGCUAUAGAUUGGCUGAAAAAGUUGCAUCUGUUGUAGAAGAGGCACAGCCACUUCUAGCAAAGGUUGAAGGCUUGGCUGAAAGUAUUCAACCUUUGCUUGCUGAAGUACGUGAUAGCACUCUGCUGCAGGAUGUGGAAAGUUUAACCAAAAGUCUAGCUGAGGCAACCGAGGGUUUAAGGAAGGUUCAGUCUGCCAUCCUAACUCCUGAGAAUGUUGACCUAAUUAGGCAAUCUGUUUACACCCUCAUAUUUACCUUAAAGAAUAUUGAGAGUAUUAGCUCAGACAUCUCGGGCUUCACGGGCGAUGAGACUACAAGGAGAAAUUUGAAGUUGUUAAUCAAGUCUCUCAGCCGGCUUUUAUGAUCAUAUUGCUGAAACCAGGUUGCGGGAAUCAAACAGUACCCUAAAUAUCAUGCUUGGAAUAUUAAUUCAGCCCAGCCCAGCUUAGGUUGUGAUUGUAUUCUUUGCUGCUUCAGUAUGUGUCAGUGAGUUCUGCAGUGAACAAAUGAGCCGUGGCUGGUGAGUCAGCAGCAUGGCUAGGUCCACGGGUCAACGUCGGGAGUUCUCUGUCGGUUCUGUCGGUUGAGCUGGACGAUGAGGUAGGUCGAGCCCUCGCGACGGGGUGUUAGUCAGUGUUUCUUGGUCCGGGCGUCGUCUGCAUCGAGCUGCGCCUCUUCGUUCUCGGGGUAGGUGACAGCUCGUCCUCGUUUGUUGGAUGGCGAUUUCCGGGCGAGGUGCUCGUGGCUCGCGGGUGAUCGCUUCCCUGCAAAAAGGCUUUCGUCGGGUGAUUUUCGACUUUGGCCCCUCCGACGAGUAAGUUAGUUGUGGGUGAUAUUGUGUUUUUUCUCUUCCUCUCUCCUUUUUGAGACUGAGAUAGAGGUUUUUAUAUUAGCGUGAGAGGGUCGAUCGUACGUGGAUUGGCGUGGUGAACACAUCACGAUAUUAGUACGGGUUCCGACUUGGUGUGCGGGGCGUUGUCGUCCCGGGAUUGUCGGGACCAGGCAUAUCGAACAGUAUCCUGGGGUGCGAGUUUUGGCGUGGCAUGUGGCAUCAGCUGUGACGUGUCCGUGGGGUAAAACAUGCGUUAUCACGUGUUGGUUCGUCAACAUGUUUACUGUGUCAUGCA